UUAAGCAUAUCAAUAAGCGGAGGAAAAGAAACCAACAGGGAUUACCUCAGUAACGGCGAGUGAAGCGGUAACAGCUCAAAUUUGAAAUCUGGCUCCUCGGGGCCCGAAUUGUAAUUUGUAGAAGAUGCUUUGGGUCUGGGCCUGGCCUAAGUUCCUUGGAACAGGACGUCGUAGAGGGUGAGAAUCCCGUAUGCGGCUGGCGCCCGUGCCCGUGUAAAGCUCUUUCAACGAGUCGAGUUGUUUGGGAAUGCAGCUCUAAAUGGGUGGUAAAUUUCAUCUAAAGCUAAAUAUUGGCCAGAGACCGAUAGCGCACAAGUAGAGUGAUCGAAAGAUGAAAAGCACUUUGGAAAGAGAGUUAAACAGUACGUGAAAUUGUUGAAAGGGAAGCGCUGGCAACCAGACUUGGGCGCUGUUGAUCCGCUAGGGUUCUCUCUAGGGCACUCGGCAGUGCGCAGGCCAGCAUCGGUUUGGGGGGUUGGAGAAUGGCUGGUGGAAUGUGGCUGUCUUUGGGCAGUGUUAUAGCCACCGGUGGCAUGCAGCCUCCCCGGACCGAGGACCGCGCUUCGGCUAGGAUGCUGGCGUAAUGGUUGUCAGCGACCCGUCUUGAAACA
Molecule: ribosomal RNA, 611 nt
Filed under: Podosphaera xanthii
Lineage: Eukaryota; Fungi; Ascomycota; Leotiomycetes; Helotiales; Erysiphaceae
Description: eukaryotic LSU rRNA
Rfam family: Eukaryotic large subunit ribosomal RNA
Source: RNAcentral